GGGCACCACCAGAAAGUGUAGCCUGCGGCUUACUUUGACUCAAAUCGUCAAAACUCACCGAGCCCGGAUUCCGUAAGGAUUGACCGAUUGAGAGCUCUUUCUUAAUGAGGUGGGUGGCGGCGCAUGGCCGAUCUUACGUGCUGGAGCGAUUUGGCUGGGUAUGUCCGAUAGCGAACUGGACUCUGGCCUAUUCCCUAGAGGAGAUUCUCGCAAGUAUAUCGCCUUCCCCUGAGGAACUCCCGGCUUCUAAACGCGAGGAAAACAAAACUACCAUGCCUGUGAUGCAAUGACUCGUCUUCCGCUGCAAACCCGCUACUUUGAACCCUUCAAGGAGCAUGAAGACCCUGUCCAGAGAGCAUGGGUAACCCCACUAAAUACUUUCGUGAUUGGCAUUUUGAAGUGGAAUUAUUUCCAUUGAGCGAGGAACUCGCAGAAAGUGGGGUCCUGUGUGUCGCGGUGAUCACCUCCCUGUCCUUUGCACACUCCGACCGUCACUACUACGGAGUGGACGAUGUAGUG
This 519-nucleotide ribosomal RNA is filed under the name uncultured eukaryote. RNAcentral describes it as "bacterial SSU rRNA". It matches the Rfam family "Eukaryotic small subunit ribosomal RNA", at positions 1162 to 1703 of the family's 1831-position model. The record is from RNAcentral.